UACGUAGGGUGCGAGCGUUAAUCGGAAUUACUGGGCGUAAAGCGUGCGCAGGCGGUUUUGCAAGUCAGAUGUGAAAUCCCCGGGCUUAACCUGGGAAUUGCAUUUGUGACUGCACGGCUAGAGUGUGGCAGAGGGGGGUAGAAUUCCACGUGUAGCAGUGAAAUGCGUAGAUAUGUGGAGGAAUACCGAUGGCGAAGGCAGCCCCCUGGGAUAACACUGACGCUCAUGCACGAAAGCGUGGGGAGCAAACAGG
Molecule: ribosomal RNA, 253 nt
Filed under: uncultured bacterium
Lineage: Bacteria
Description: partial 16S ribosomal RNA
Rfam family: Bacterial small subunit ribosomal RNA
Source: RNAcentral